AUAAGCUCCUUCGGGGACAGUGUCUCAUUUCCAAGGGAGACCUGCGCGAGAAGACUCACAAACUGGAUUGUAAAUGCCUUGCAUAGAAAUGACGGAAACUGCACUGCACAGGCCUCAGCGACGCGGGCCCAGUCUGGACGCCACCGGGGCGGUGAACUGAUACUCUGUGGGAGCCCCACGGAUGCUACCACGCAGAAUAAUUUAGGUAUAGAAAGAGGAAGCUGGAAAUCAGACGGACAUGUGGUGACGAACUCAGCAGUCCUCACUGCAGCGAACCUGGCCCCGCGAAGCCCUGUCCUCAUGCCCAGCUGCCUCCUUCCCACAGGCACUGCUGAAGGCCAGUGACUCCCUCACAGCCAUGGCCUGAGGGCUGUGCGGCCUAGCCCUCGCCUUCCCAGGGCCCCUCUCUGACCACCGGGGCCGGAGCCACUCCGCGCCCUCUGCCACACUGCCACACCAUCGUCCGGAGAAGUGCCCCUGCCCUUCCUGCUGUCACAUGCCCUGUGCCUUUGCCGUGCUGUCCCUCAGAAAGCAGCUCUGCUUCCAGCCCCGCCAGGGAGCGAGCCGGGGCAAGACUGACCCACACCACCUGCUCGACAGCAGCAUCAAACCUGCUGCCCAGUGCCCUGCCCCAUGGCUACCCUGGGCGGAAAAUGCUCCAGAGAGGCUACUGGGAGGCCCCCACCCAUCCCAGG
This 695-nucleotide long non-coding RNA is filed under the name Heterocephalus glaber (naked mole-rat). Its description in RNAcentral is "lncRNA (ENSHGLG00000046653.1)". Lineage: Eukaryota; Metazoa; Chordata; Mammalia; Rodentia; Bathyergidae. The record is from RNAcentral.